CAGGGGGUAGUUUAAUUUAAAAUGUUAACUUUGGAGGUUAAUGAUAAGGAUCUCUUUUCCUCUGA
Molecule: transfer RNA, 65 nt
Filed under: Neotermes sp.
Lineage: Eukaryota; Metazoa; Arthropoda; Insecta; Blattodea; Kalotermitidae
Description: tRNA-Pro
Source: RNAcentral